This 354-nucleotide long non-coding RNA is filed under the name Vombatus ursinus (common wombat). Its description in RNAcentral is "lncRNA (ENSVURG00010015058.1)". Lineage: Eukaryota; Metazoa; Chordata; Mammalia; Diprotodontia; Vombatidae. The record is from RNAcentral.
AGAUAAUUACUUCCUUUUGUAAGGUUAUAUUAAUCUUUUGUGUAUGUGUGUAUGUUUUUAUUUAGAGCACAGUAGAAAGUGCAAAGCAUUUCCUAGAGAAAUGUACACCAGGAAAAUGGAACAUCCAGUAUAACCAUCUUAGCCUCAAGACCCCUGUUCCAAGCAAAGCUCAUUGGUUACCUGGCUAAAGAAAUUGGCUUGCUCUCUGAAGAAGUGGAAAUGUAUGGUCAGACAAAAGCCAAGGUUCUGCUGUCUACCUUAGAACACCUGAAACACCAGCCUGAUGGAAAAUAUGUGGUCGUAACGGGAAUAACCCCUACACCUCUGGGAGAAGGAAGAGUACAACCACACUAG